Paramuricea clavata is the source of this 508-nucleotide non-coding RNA. The record is from the annotation of a GenBank genome assembly. NCBI's taxonomy places the organism in Eukaryota, Metazoa, Cnidaria, Anthozoa, Malacalcyonacea, Plexauridae.
GACUUUGAGUUUGGGUCGGACAUAUGUGUGAUGAUGUCCGAUGACCUUUAGUUCAGUUUGUCUUGGAAAUAAGUCUGAAUGACGCAAAUCAACUUCAGCACAAUAUAUUAAUUCUGAACUAAAUGUUAUGAAGAUAUUUAAAUAGUUUGUGUCAUUCAAUCAUACUUAUUUCCAAGUCAAGAUUAACUUGCUUGCCAAUAAUAGCAGUACGACUUCGACAACUUAAGCACGUUUUCCAACAUUUCCGGUUCAUUUUUGUACAAUACUCUGUUUCUCCAUUAUAACAUACGAGCUUCUAGUACUGGACUAGGGUACAUUUUGAUUUACGUGCGUGGAGAAAGCGUCGGACAAAGCUACAGUUCGGUCAGACACCAAUUCAUUCGGGUCGGACACAUAAUAAACUUCAGUUUCAUUUAGGUCGGACAGAAUGUCCGGUGGUUUCCUCUCUACGUCGGACAAUUGGACGAAUGGGUCGGACAAUGUCCGUGACCGACCGAUAUUUUAUGGC